GCGGGGGUGGCAGAGUGGCCAAAUGCGAUAGGUUCAGGGCCUAUUCCCUUAGUGGGUACGAGGGUUCGAAUAUGUUCGACAGGUCGAUCAGACCGAGCGAGCAGCGAGAGUCCCUUCCCCCGCA
Molecule: transfer RNA, 124 nt
Filed under: Candidatus Woesearchaeota archaeon
Lineage: Archaea; Nanobdellati; Candidatus Woesearchaeota
Description: tRNA-Leu
Source: RNAcentral